UGGGGAAUAUUGCACAAUGGAGGGAACUCUGAUGCAGCGACGCCGCGUGAGUGAUGAAGGAAUUCGUUUCGUAAAACUCUGUUCUAUGGGAAGAAAAGGACUGUACCAUAGGAGAAAGCUCCGGCUAAAUACGUGCCAGCAGCCGCGGUAAUACGAAUGGAGCGAGCGUUGUCCGGAAUUAUUGGGCGUAAAGGGUGCGCAGGCGGCUUUACAAGUUGGGUGUGAAAUAUUGUGGCUCAACCACAAACGUGCAUCCAAAACUGCAAAGCUUGAGUUAAGGAGAGGUAAGUGGAAUUCCUGGUGGAGCGGUGGAAUGCGUAGAUAUCAGAAGGAAUACCGGUGGCGAAGGCGACUUACUGGAAUAAAACUGACGCUCAGGCACGAAAGCGUGGGGAGCAAACAGG
RNAcentral lists this ribosomal RNA (404 nucleotides) under Fusobacteriota bacterium. Its description in RNAcentral is "Fusobacteria bacterium partial 16S ribosomal RNA". It matches the Rfam family "Bacterial small subunit ribosomal RNA", at positions 355 to 776 of the family's 1533-position model. The record is from RNAcentral. Lineage: Bacteria; Fusobacteriati; Fusobacteriota.